RNAcentral lists this ribosomal RNA (556 nucleotides) under uncultured eukaryote. Its description in RNAcentral is "SSU rRNA". It matches the Rfam family "Eukaryotic small subunit ribosomal RNA", at positions 372 to 951 of the family's 1831-position model. The record is from RNAcentral.
AGGGUUCGAUUCCGGAGAGGGAGCCUGAGAAACGGCUACCACAUGUACGGAAGGCAGCAGGCACGAAAAUUGCCCAAUCCUGAUACGGGGAGGCAGUGACAAGAAAUAACAACUCUCAACUAUGUUGAGAAGUGUAAUGAGGAUAAUUUACAAACCUUACCGAAAGCAAUUGGAGGGCAAGUCUGGUGCCAGCAGCCGCGGUAAUUCCAGCUCCAAUAGCGUAUAUUAAAGUUGUUGCAGUUAAAAAGCUCGUAGUUGAAAUUCUGUUCGUAUGGGCCUCUGCACUUUGAUGCGAAGGUACCAGCGGGCAUCCGCUUGCAAAUACAUGUCCUUCCUUCAUCGGUUGGCUGUAUGAGCAAGCAAUUUACCUUGAGAAAAACAGAGUGUUCCAGGCAGGCUUGUCCGGAAUGCAUUAGCAUGGAAUAAUAGAAUAUGACUGAAGUCGAUUUAUUGGUUUGAGGCUUUAGUAAUGACUAAUAGGAACAGUCGGGGGCAUUAGUACUUGUCAGUCAGAGGUGAAAUUCGAGGAUUUGACAAAGACUAACUGAUGCGAAAG